AGAAGUGGCCAAACCUCUUUGUCAAAGCCUGAUCUCGUCAGAUCUCAGAAGCUAAGCAGGGCUGGUCCUGGUUAGUACUUGGGUUGGAGACCACUGAGAAUAACCGGUGCCACAGUGG
This 118-nucleotide ribosomal RNA is filed under the name Periophthalmus magnuspinnatus. The record is from RNAcentral. Lineage: Eukaryota; Metazoa; Chordata; Actinopteri; Gobiiformes; Gobiidae.